GGUCAAUGAUGAUUGGUAAAAGGUCUGAUGCGCCGAACGUCACAGUCCUCUCCCUGCCCUUGGCUCCCAGCUGCCCAUUGUGUUUCCUGGCACAGUUGAGUCAUGUGCCGGGGUAGCCGAGCGGCUGACAUGCAGGGACCCUGUCAUCAUGUGUUCUGAGAGUGAGCAGUUCACAGCCGACUCAGGUCCAACAUGACCACUUCUGCAGGAGCAUGACGAGCAGCAGGAGGGUGUGACGGUGCCUGAUCUCAAGUUUUCAAUCUGAGACC
Non-coding RNA from Octodon degus (degu), 269 nucleotides. The record is from Ensembl. NCBI's taxonomy places the organism in Eukaryota, Metazoa, Chordata, Mammalia, Rodentia, Octodontidae.